This 473-nucleotide ribosomal RNA is filed under the name uncultured bacterium. RNAcentral's name for it is "bacterial SSU rRNA". It matches the Rfam family "Bacterial small subunit ribosomal RNA", at positions 375 to 845 of the family's 1533-position model. The record is from RNAcentral.
GCGCAAGCCUGAUGCAGCCAUGCCGCGUGUGUGAAGGAAGGCCUUCGGGUUGUAAAGCACUUUCAGUAAGGAGGAAAGGUUAAGUGUUAAUAGCACUUAGCUGUGACGUACUACAGAAGAAGCACCGGCUAACUCCGUGCCAGCAGCCGCGGAAUACGGAGGGUGCGAGCGUUAAUCGGAAUUACUGGGCGUAAAGCGUACGCAGGCGGUUUGUUAAGCGAGAUGUGAAAGCCCCGGGCUCAACCUGGAACUGCAUUUCGAACUGGCAAACUAGAGUGUGAUAGAGGGUGGUAGAAUUUCAGGUGUAGCGGUGAAAUGCGUAGAGAUCUGAAGGAAUACCGAUGGCGAAGGCAGCCACCUGGGUCAACACUGACGCUCAUGUACGAAAGCGUGGGGAGCAAACAGGAUUAGAUACCCUGGAGUCCACGCCGUAAACGAUGUCUACUAGAAGCUCGGGUCUUCGGACUUGUUUU